CGGAGCCUGACAGGAUCCGGACGAGGCGCACCGUACCCGGCUCGGCAAAGACGGUGCACU
This 60-nucleotide non-coding RNA is filed under the name Saccharomonospora viridis. Lineage: Bacteria; Bacillati; Actinomycetota; Actinomycetes; Pseudonocardiales; Pseudonocardiaceae. The record is from RNAcentral. RNAcentral also lists the same sequence under 1 other name.